UGGGGAAUUUUGGACAAUGGGCGAAAGCCUGAUCCAGUAAUGCCGCGUGUGUGAAGAAGGCCUUCGGGUUGUAAAGCACUUUUGUCCGGAAAGAAAUCCUUGGCUCUAAUACAGUCGGGGGAUGACGGUACCGGAAGAAUAAGCACCGGCUAACUACGUGCCAGCAGCCGCGGUAAUACGUAGGGUGCAAGCGUUAAUCGGAAUUACUGGGCGUAAAGCGUGCGCAGGCGGUUUGCUAAGACCGAUGUGAAAUCCCCGGGCUCAACCUGGGAACUGCAUUGGUGACUGGCAGGCUAGAGUAUGGCAGAGGGGGGUAGAAUUCCACGUGUAGCAGUGAAAUGCGUAGAGAUGUGGAGGAAUACCGAUGGCGAAGGCAGCCCCCCUGGGCCAAUACUGACGCUCAUGCACGAAAGCGUGGGGAGCAAACAGGAUUAGAUACCCUGGUAGUCCACGCCCUAAACGAUGUCAACUAGUUGUUGGGGGAUUCAUUUCCUUAGUAACGUAGCUAACGCGUGAAGUUGACCGCCUGGGGAGUACGGUCGCAAGAUUAAAACUUAAAGGAAUUGACGGGGUCAUAGCUGUUUCCU
This 587-nucleotide ribosomal RNA is filed under the name uncultured bacterium. Its description in RNAcentral is "partial 16S ribosomal RNA". It matches the Rfam family "Bacterial small subunit ribosomal RNA", at positions 355 to 1375 of the family's 1533-position model. The record is from RNAcentral.